GAUCAUUACCGAGUUGAGGGCCCUCUGGGUCCAACCUCCCACCCGUGUCUAUCGUACCUUGUUGCUUCGGCGGGCCCGCCGUUUCGACGGCCGCCGGGGAGGCCUUGCGCCCCCGGGCCCGCGCCCGCCGAAGACCCCAACAUGAACGCUGUUCUGAAAGUAUGCAGUCUGAGUUGAUUAUCGUAAUCAGUUAAAACUUUCAACAACGGAUCUCUUGGUUCCGGCAUCGAUGAAGAACGCAGCGAAAUGCGAUAAGUAAUGUGAAUUGCAGAAUUCAGUGAAUCAUCGAGUCUUUGAACGCACAUUGCGCCCCCUGGUAUUCCGGGGGGCAUGCCUGUCCGAGCGUCAUUGCUGCCCUCAAGCACGGCUUGUGUGUUGGGCCCCCGUCCCCCUCUCCCGGGGGACGGGCCCGAAAGGCAGCGGCGGCACCGCGUCCGGUCCUCGAGCGUAUGGGGCUUUGUCACCUGCUCUGUAGGCCCGGCCGGCGCCAGCCGACACCCAACUUUAUUUUUCUAAGGUUGACCUCGGAUCAGGUAGGGAUACCCGCUGAACUUAA
Molecule: unclassified non-coding RNA, 556 nt
Filed under: Aspergillus fumigatus
Lineage: Eukaryota; Fungi; Ascomycota; Eurotiomycetes; Eurotiales; Aspergillaceae
Description: sequence contains 18S rRNA gene, ITS1, 5.8S rRNA gene, ITS2, 28S rRNA gene
Rfam family: 5.8S ribosomal RNA (bases 195-348)
Source: RNAcentral